GAUGAACGCUGGCGGCGUGCCUAAUACAUGCAAGUCGAGCGAAAAGACGCGGCGCUUGCUCCUCUGUCGUUAGCGGCGGACGGGUGAGUAACAUGUGGAUACCCUCCCUAUCAGACUGGGAUAACUUCGGGAAACCGGCGCUAAUACCGGAUAAUAUAUUGAACCGCAUGGUUCAAUAGUGAAAGACGGUUUUGCUGGCACUUCUCGAUGGAUCCGAGCCGCAUUAGCUAGUUGGUAAGGUAACGGGUUACCACGGCGACGAUGCGUAUCCGACCUGAGAGGCGGGUCGGCCACACGGGAACGUAGACACGUUCCAGACUCCUACGGGAGGCAGCAGUAGGGAAUCUUCCGCAAUGGGCGAAAGCCUUACGGAGCAACGCCGCGUGAGUGAUGAAGGUCUUCGGAUCGUAAAGCUCGGUUAUUAGGGAAGAACAAAUGUGUAAGUAACUAUGCACGUCGUGACGGUACCUAAUCAGAAAGCCACGGCUAACUACGUG
This 497-nucleotide ribosomal RNA is filed under the name uncultured bacterium. RNAcentral's name for it is "partial 16S ribosomal RNA". It matches the Rfam family "Bacterial small subunit ribosomal RNA", at positions 28 to 507 of the family's 1533-position model. The record is from RNAcentral.